RNAcentral lists this non-coding RNA (97 nucleotides) under Belliella pelovolcani. RNAcentral's name for it is "TPP sequence". It matches the Rfam family "TPP riboswitch aptamer (THI element)". Rfam says of the family: Vitamin B(1) in its active form thiamin pyrophosphate (TPP) is an essential coenzyme that is synthesised by coupling of pyrimidine and thiazole moieties in bacteria. The previously detected thiamin-regulatory element, thi box was extended, resulting in a new, highly conserved RNA secondary structure, the THI element, which is widely distributed in eubacteria and also occurs in some archaea. Analysis of operon structures identified a large number of new candidate thiamin-regulated genes, mostly transporters, in various prokaryotic organisms. Lineage: Bacteria; Pseudomonadati; Bacteroidota; Cytophagia; Cytophagales; Cyclobacteriaceae. The record is from RNAcentral.
CAAGAUCAUGAGGGGUGCCUUAACAAAACGGGCUGAGAUCAUACCCACAAUACCUGAUCCGGGUAGUGCCGGCGAAGGGAAAUGAGUAACCAUUACC